UUGGAUYCUGGUAUGAAUGAUUUCACACYUAACUUCUGUCUUUUAUCAAAACAUAAAAAUUAGAGUCCGGGUAAAAAUACCCAGAUUUUUUAAAAAGACGAUAAGACCCUAAAAGCUUUAAAUUUAAUUAGUGUUUARURUAUUAAGAAGAAUUUUUAACUGGGGUAGUUGUAUUUUAGAUUAUUUAAGAUAAAGACUUUGUGUUUAUAUUCCUUAAUAUUAGGAUUUAAAUAAGUUACUUUAGGGAUAACAGCGUAAUAGUGUUGGUGAGAACUUAUCUAUAACACUGAUUACGACCUCGAUGUUGAAUUAAUAUAUCUUUUUAAAGCAGGUUUUAAGGGAGAGGGUUUGUUCAACCUUUAAU
RNAcentral lists this ribosomal RNA (364 nucleotides) under Cymadusa setosa. RNAcentral's name for it is "partial large subunit ribosomal RNA". Lineage: Eukaryota; Metazoa; Arthropoda; Malacostraca; Amphipoda; Ampithoidae. The record is from RNAcentral.